Long non-coding RNA from Ornithodoros turicata, 1053 nucleotides. RefSeq lists it as uncharacterized. The transcript has 5 exons. Lineage: Eukaryota; Metazoa; Arthropoda; Arachnida; Ixodida; Argasidae. The record is from RefSeq and is a predicted model, not a curated record.
CCCAGGGUCGAUCUUGACCUUCUCCUAUCUUGAAUAUGUGACUCACUCGUCCAAGGGCAUGGCGUUCCUGUGCAUGUGCGCGAAGUUUUGUUUGCUAAAGUGCUGUGUAAAAGUGUGCUGACAUGACAGAACUGCAAAAAGAAGAACCUCACCCUGAAGAGGUGAAAAACUCACCCACCAUGAUAUUUCACUCAUGGGACAAUUAUAAAGUGUGUAACAUGAGAUGGAUCCAUCUAGCCAACGACUGAGACACCCUACGUGAGCGUGCUUCCGCAAAACUUCACAAAGCAGUACUACACCUGUGGAAAUGAAGACGGCAUCGGCAUAUGAACCAAGGUCCUUCAGCUUCUUCUGGUUACCUACAUGGAUGGUCACCUCUCGAUUGCGCCAAUCCUCCUCAUCAUAUCAAAAGACAGACUCUACCCGGGGGCCAUUUCUCUUUGUCCUGUGGACAAGUUCGCUGUGAAAACCUCCAAUACUAAUAGUGCAUCGGAAGUGGAACGCGGACACUACUUGUGGUUGUGCAGUGCUGUGUGGGUGACUAAUGAGGAUUCUUGUGAAGGAACAUUCUUCCACAAAUUUAUGUGCUUGUGCAUCGGUGGAGUUGACAGUGAUGUUUCAUAGAAGAAUGACGAGGAUCAUGAGGCCGUGGUGGAUAAUAUGAACAGGCGACUCCCAAUGACACGUGAAGUGGGCUGCACUACGCAAGUAUGCAACCUAUAUCAACCGUGACCAUUGACGAUGUUUCGCCUUGCUGAUGCUGGGUGAGUAAAGCACCGCAACUGGGACUCUCAAGCACCGACAUGACGAGAGCGAUGAAAGAAACAAUGUCCAGGGCAUGGCGGUUGACACAAAGAUGCGGGACGCAUCUCCUGUGCUUGUGCCAGAAGCAGUACCGCACUCGCAGCGAUAAGGAGAACAGGCAAUGCUAUGCAAGUAUGCAAGCUGAGUCAGUUGCAACCACAGUAAAUGAGGAUUUUUCGCCUUUCUGACAGAGGAUGGUGGAACGGAGACUCUCAAACUCCAAGAAUAAAACAGCGAUGAAACAAACCA